RNAcentral lists this ribosomal RNA (719 nucleotides) under uncultured delta proteobacterium kpc124rc. RNAcentral's name for it is "bacterial SSU rRNA". It matches the Rfam family "Bacterial small subunit ribosomal RNA", at positions 793 to 1533 of the family's 1533-position model. The record is from RNAcentral. Lineage: Bacteria; Deltaproteobacteria.
GUCCACGCCGUAAACGAUGUGCACUAGAUUUGGGGGGUUUGACCCCUUCCGAGUCGCAGCUAACGCAUUAAGUGCACCGCCUGGGGAGUACGGUCGCAAGACUAAAACUCAAAGGAAUUGACGGGGGCCCGCACAAGCGGUGGAUUAUGUGGUUUAAUUCGAAGCAACGCGCAGAACCUUACCCGGGCUUGAAAUCCUGAGAACCUGUCCUAAAAGACGGGGUGCCCUUCGGGGAAUUCAGUGACAGGCGCUGCAUGGCUGUCGUCAGCUCGUGUCGUGAGAUGUUGGGUUAAGUCUCGCAACGAGCGCAACCCCUAUCCUUAGUUGCCAGCAUUAAGUUGGGCACUCUAGGGAGACUGCCUGGGCUAACCAGGAGGAAGGUGGGGAUGACGUCAAGUCCUCAUGGCCCUUAUGUCCGGGGCUACACACGUAAUACAAUGGUGCAUACAAUGGGAAGCGACCCUGCGAAGGUGAGCAAAUCUCAAAAAGUGCAUCUCAGUCCGGAUUGGAGUCUGCAACUCGACUCCAUGAAGUUGGAAUCGCUAGUAAUCGUGGAUCAGCACGCCACGGUGAAUACGUUCCCGGCCUUGUACACACCGCCCGUCACACCACGGGAGUUGGUUUUACCUGAAGUCGUGGCCCUAACCUUUUGGAGGGGACGCCUACGGUCGAACUGAUGAUUGGGGUGAAGUCGUACAAGUAACCUAGUCAGUCAGCUU